Molecule: microRNA precursor, 187 nt
Filed under: Oryza brachyantha (malo sina)
Lineage: Eukaryota; Viridiplantae; Streptophyta; Magnoliopsida; Poales; Poaceae
Description: MIR812 microRNA precursor family
Rfam family: MIR812 microRNA precursor family
Source: Rfam by way of RNAcentral
UUUAAUUUUUAGAUAUAAUGUUUGACUCUUCGUCUUAUUAAAAAAUCGAUUAAUAUUUUUAUUUUUAUUAGAUGAUAAAACAUAAAUAAUACUUUAUGCGUGACUAUUUUUUAAAAAAAUUUAAAAAAUUUUCAAAUAAGACGGAUGAUCAAACACUCGACAAGGAAACCGAAAGGCUGUCUUUUUU